This 172-nucleotide microRNA precursor is filed under the name Oryza meridionalis. Its description in RNAcentral is "MIR812 microRNA precursor family". It matches the Rfam family "MIR812 microRNA precursor family". Lineage: Eukaryota; Viridiplantae; Streptophyta; Magnoliopsida; Poales; Poaceae. The record is from Rfam by way of RNAcentral.
AGCAAAUAUCUCCAAGCUUGUUGCAUUUCGUCUUAUUUAAAUUUUUUUAUGGUUAGUAUUUUGGUUGUUAUUAGAUGAUAAAAUAUAAAUAAUACUUUAUGUGUGACUAUUUUUUAAUAUUUUUUUAAAAAAUAAAUAAGACGAAACAUGGAAACUUAUGACUGCGCUUAAA